RNAcentral lists this ribosomal RNA (234 nucleotides) under uncultured bacterium. RNAcentral's name for it is "partial 16S ribosomal RNA". It matches the Rfam family "Bacterial small subunit ribosomal RNA", at positions 99 to 334 of the family's 1533-position model. The record is from RNAcentral.
CGCACGGGUGAGUAACACGUAUCCAACCUGCCGUCUACUCUUGGACAGCCUUCUGAAAGGAAGAUUAAUACAAGAUGCAUCAUGAGUCCGCAUGUUCACAUGAUUAAAGGUAUUCCGGUAGACGAUGGGGAUGCGUUCCAUUAGAUAGUAGGCGGGGUAACGGCCCACCUAGUCUUCGAUGGAUAGGGGUUCUGAGAGGAAGGUCCCCCACAUUGGAACUGAGACACGGUCCAA